GUGCUCACUUCAGUAGCACGUAUACUAAAAUUGGAACAUACAGAGAAGAUGAGCAUGGACUCUGCCCAAGGAUGAUGUGCAAAUUUGUAAAAGCAGGCCUAAUUGU
Molecule: small nuclear RNA, 106 nt
Organism: Trichechus manatus latirostris (Florida manatee)
Lineage: Eukaryota; Metazoa; Chordata; Mammalia; Sirenia; Trichechidae
Source: RefSeq, a predicted model, not a curated record